This 762-nucleotide ribosomal RNA is filed under the name Triticum aestivum (bread wheat). RNAcentral describes it as "partial small subunit ribosomal RNA". The record is from RNAcentral. Lineage: Eukaryota; Viridiplantae; Streptophyta; Magnoliopsida; Poales; Poaceae.
AUGGCAGUGGAAGAUAAAUGCGCAGUGUGUGGAGAAGAUGACUCGUGGAAGCAUUCGUUGAUCGAGUGUACAAUGGCUAAAUGCGUUUGGGCUUUGGCAUCAGUGGAGGUUGCGGAACAGGUCUCCAUGACGCAGCAAGGGAAUGCGAGGGACUGGAUUUUUGAGCUCAUUGAAAAAUUACCCUCUAGUGAAAUGACAGAGGCCUUUGUCUCCCUAUGGGCUAUCUGGCACGCAAGGCGGAAGAACAAGGUACAAGCAAGACAAGUCCAGACCAAUGUCCAGCAAUGGAUCCCCUCACCGGCCGGCUGGACGAAGGUAAACGUGGACGGAGCCUUGGGAAAACAUGAUGACAAGGCUGCCGUUGCAGCUGUAGCACGAAGCUGUGAAGGUGAAUUCUUGGGAGCUUCUUCUGUUGUCUUCACAGGAAUUUCAGAUGCAGAAACCGUUGAAGCUCUUGCAAUAAGGGAGGCUCUCUCAUUGGCGGACGACUUGCUUACUCGAAGAGUUAAGGUGGCUUCUGAUUGCCUUAGGGUGAUAAAUACUCUGAAAGAGGACUCCAAACCAGUAUAUUAUCACAUCACACAGGAGAUUAAGGCCAGAGGUGCGCAGUUGGAUGGCAUUGUUUUUUGUCACGAGAAGCGCAGUUCAAACUUCGAAGCUCACAGGCUUGCUCGAUCAUCACUUAGGUAUAAUGUUGGCCGGUUUGUUUGGCUACUAGAUCCGCCCGAGGGCUUAUGUAUCCCUAGAACUCUUGUGAUAUAA